CAAGCCAUCGACUAAACACCCAAUCAACCAAGAUUAUAUCCUCAGUUGGCUGUAUUGGCCUUCUACCAGAAGCAACCUCAAGCAAGAAGGCCCCAAAAGCGAACACAUCAGUGCUUGUCGUGGCCUUUCCAGUUCGUGCAUGCUCAGGUGCGAGAUACCCAAGAGUUCCGACAACGUGGGUCGUUUGAGGAUCUGUUCCAUGGUCAUACAAUCUUGCAAGGCCAAAAUCCCCUAAUCUUCCAUUCAAUUCACCAUCUAGCAAGACAUUACUUGCCUUGACAUCUCUAUGAACCACAACUUGCUCCCAUUCUUCAUGCAGAUAAAAUAGCCCUGAAGCUACGCCUUUGAUGACUCUAAAUCUUUGGCUCCAAUUGAGGGCGACUGUUGGUUGGUCAUAGAGGUAUUUGUCUAAACUUCCAUUAGGCAUGUAGUCAUAUACCAAAAGUAGCUCUCCUUUACGCCGGCAGUACCCCAAGAGAGGGACUAAAUUCCGGUGGCGAAGGCGACCAAUGCUGACAAUUUCCGCCACAAAUUCCCUCAUCCCCUGUCUUGAUUCAUGAGACACCCUUUUCACUGCAAUCUGAAUCUUAGAGGUUGGCAAGACACCUUUGUAGACUCUACCAAAUCCACCACUACCCAACUGCUCCUCGUCUCUAAAUCCUUUGGUGGCAGUAUAAAGAUCUUUGAGUUUAAAUCGGUGAGGCCCAUAGUCAAGCUCCCAAUCUUCUAGCACUUCUGCAAACUUCCUUGCCCUUCGUAUGGCAUAAGAAAUACUCGAGACCGCUACUAAAACCAAACUUAAACAAAGCACAGGCAGUCCAAUGGUUAAGAAUUUGGAUGUCUUCUUUGGUCCUACUCGAGGAAGCUUAGGAAGGCGAGAGAUAUUUAGUCCUUUAGCUAGGCCAUUCAUCUUGAAGCUCCAACCCAACACAUACUGGGACGCUAAAACAGAACCGGUAGACGAUGAGAAUCCGAUAUACAUACUACUGUUUAAGAUUGGCGACAAAUCACAAGACAAAGUCAAAAGUGGUCGACUGGGUUUAUCAACAUCAAUCGGAGCUAUAGUGACAUUAAAUUGCUUCUCCAUGCCAUCAUAUUCCAUCCAAACUUGCAUUGGAUGGCCACUACUUAGCGUCAAGUUUGUGAGCUUACCAUUAAGUUGAGAAUAAUAUCCAGCUGAAGCAGAUCGUUCAGACACUAAACCAUUAAUAUCAAUCCCAACAUGGUUAUCAUUGAUAUCAUUGAAAUCGCUGUUGUAUAUCGUGUCAAGCUCCACAGCAACAACAUGGUUGGUCUGAUUCCCAUUGUUGGUCUCAUUAAAUAGACCAAGGUGCUGGCUUGGAAGAGCUCCUGGGAGACCUCUUGUGGGUGCAAUGACAAAGGCAAUACCAUGGCCACCAAAACUUGCAUAUUCAGGUAUGAUAGCGAAAACAAAGGCAGUGGAGAAGGUGAAAGCAGUGCUAUUUAUAGAGUUCUUGAAGGUUACUGGGUUUGGAUAGAAGGCGUGACUAGUUCGUAGCUUGGUUUCAUUGGUUAGCCUCAAAAGGCCAUUGGAGGUUAACUCAGCUAAGCCGUCAAGGCUUAGAUUAGUAGAUCGGAAGCCAGAGAAGGUGAAGUUGAGAUCUUGAGAGGCUGCUAUUGCUAAGCUAACGAAGACACGCACCAAAAAGACGAUCCUGAAUAACAUUGCAACUGUAUUUGUCACCACCCACCAGUUUCUUGUUCAUGUUUGUCAGUUAUAUUGGAGUAUCCACUUAAUCCAGUACAGAUUAUUUGUAGGAAAAUAAUUUUUUUUUUAAAUUAAUUAUUUAAAUAUUAAAUUCUUGAAAAAUAAAUUAGUUUCUAAUAUUUAGUAGUAUUAUAAAAAAUAACUUAGAAAAUAUUUUCCAAUUUGACUAUAUCAUAGAAAAUAAGUUGAAAAUAAAAUUAUUAAUAUUUUUUUUCAAGUUUAUUAAAAUAAUAAGAAAUAAAUCUUACAAAUUAAAAAGUUGAAUGAAAGUAAAAGUAAAAAAAAUCUAAUUUUAUAAAUUAUCUCAAAUAAAAUAAAUAACAAUCAAAAUAAUAAAAAUCAAAUCUAAUGGAUAAAAAAGUUGAAAGAUAAUGAAAUUAAAAAAAAUUACAAUUUCAUAAAUUAUUUUAAAUAAAAUAAAAAACAAUAAAAAAAAUAAAAACCUAAUCUGAUAAAUAAUUAAUUUCAAUUAAGAAAAUAAUAAGAGAAAAAUAAAUAAUAAUCAUAAAAAUAAGGACGAGAUAUAAAAAUUAAAUUAAAUUUUAACGGAUGAAAUUAAAAAAUAAAUUCAAAAUAAAAUAUACAUCAAUCAAAAGUUUGAGGUUUUAAUUUGAUAAAAUCAGUAAAUAACAUUAUAUUUUUAAAUUUUUCACAAUUUUUAAAAAGUGUUGUUUUCUCAAAAUAAAAAAAAUACUUUCAUGUAAAUCAAGAUAAUUUUUUUUAAAAAAAAUAUUUUUCAUCAAUUAAUAUUGUUUCAAUAACAAAUAAAUAUAAAAAAAUUUAAAAAAUGAUUUUAACAAAUCACUUUCCGUGAAAUAAAUGUGCCUUAAUGAUAGAGCCAAUUAGUCAAACAAUGAGGACAAUCUUUGCAUAAUCUUUGCAUUCAAUGGUUGAGAUAAUCUAACUUGUCAAACUUUCAGGUUGAUGUGAAANNNNNNNNNNNNNNNNNNNNNNNNNNNNNNNNNNNNNNNNNNNNNNNNNNNNNNNNNNNNNNNNNNNNNNNNNNNNNNNNNNNNNNNNNNNNNNNNNNNNUUAAAUUUCGCGGUUAGGUAUUGUAUGAGUUGCAGCUGAACAGAUUUUUUUAAUUAAAUUUAAAUUUUUUUAAAUUAAUUUUUUAGUGUUUUUAUAUUAUUUUUGAUAUAUUAAUGUUAUAAAUAACAUUUUAAAAAAAAUAUUUUAAUAUAUUUAAAAAUAAAAAAAUAAUUUAAAAAAUAUUCUUCACUACCCUUCCAAAUAAUAAGGUUGCUCUAAAGGUUCGAGUCCUUUCAUAAUCAUUAUUGAUUUACAUGAUUAUUAAUUUUAUAACUCGUAAAAUUAAUCGAAAUACACAUAAGUUAAGCUGUUCUGAAUAUUCAUAUUAAUAAUAAAAAAAAUUGCUCUAAAGUACCAGGAUUCAUACAUUCGUACUUGUUACUUGGCUAUUAAUGUAUUGAUUUCAGCUUUAUGUUACCGGUCGACUCAUACAACCAGUUGCUCAUUCUAAUUUCAUUAGCUUUAGGUGUAAAUAGCUAUUUGCCCUGGAUACACUCUGGGUUAUAUAAUAAUCUAGAAUCGAAUAAUUGAAGUAUGAAUGUUAUAAACGAUAUGAUAGAUCCACUUAAAAGAAAAUGGUUAAAAAAAAAGGCAUAGAAGAACCAACAAACAACUGAAAUUUCAUGGGGAUGCAACUUCCACAAGUGCCCCUAACAAAGGAAGGAGAGACUUGGUUUCUAAUAGACAUUUCUAUACAAAGAUCAAAAUUUCAUUUACUAAUGUAAAUUUCAUUUACUAAUGCAAGAGAGAUAAAUCAAUUCCAACUCAUCACAAAAACUAAGAUGCUAUCCCGUGUAUGGUAUUGCGUUAUAAACAAGAGUUGGGCAAAAUUUGAAAAUUUGUUUUUUACUUAAAAUUAUUUUUUUAUGUUUUUGGAUCAUUUAAUUUGAUGUGCUGAUAUAAAAAAAUAAUUUUUAAAAAAUAAUAAUAAAAUAUUAUUUUGAUGCAUUCCCAAAUCAAAAACACUUUGAAAAGCAACUACUACUACACUUUCAAACAUCCAAUAUAGAAAACCCAACUAUAAUAAUCUAUAAUUCAUCUUAAAAAGAAACAAAUAUAUGUGAAACCUACAAAGGGAACCCGCCUCUUGCGUAACGUGGCAUUUCUGCUUAUAAUCAAGUAAAGAAAAGUUGAGGUAGAUAAAGUUAGAACUAUUAGAUGGGUGUUUGAGAGUAUAGUAGUGGUUGCUUUUCAAUAGUGUAUUUCACUCAGAAAAAAGCACCUGAUUAGGGAUACGAUGAACCUUUAGUAAACUGAAACGGNNNNNNNNNNNNNNNNNNNNNNNNNNNNNNNNNNNNNNNNNNNNNNNNNNNNNNNNNNNNNNNNNNNNNNNNNNNNNNNNNNNNNNNNNNNNNNNNNNNNCCUAGUAAACCAGGUGAUCGGUAGUUGUGAUAGUACCAAGUGGUGCCUCGUAACCAGGUAGUUGGUAGUUGACACCUGUAAAAGGUCCCUUGUUAUGGACGUGGAGACUCUCUAAUGGUAAAGUCAGUAACUUUGUAGAGAGAAAAUGUGCAAUGAUAUUUUAGAGAGAUAGAUUCUGAAAAUAUGUAUGCUAAAAAUGUUAAGAAUGAAGAGAUUGUGAACCUUUAACUUGAAAGAUUCAUGACAUAUUUAUAGCCCAUAAAUCUUCUUUUUUUAUGGAGAAGAGGGGUUAAAGUAUAAUUUCAUCCUUGUGAUAUUUUGAGUUGUAUUCUAGUUAAAAUAAUACAUAUUAGAUCAAUAUAAAAUACUAAGGGACUCGUGUGGAAUCCCAAAAAAAUCCUUGGCAGGUGUUGGGCUUGAGCCCAUUUAAAAUGAGAAAUGGGUUUAGACGCACUGCUUAGAACCAAGCAUAUUAGGCUCGAGAAGCACUCCCGACCCCGAGCAUGUUGGGCUUGGGUGCAUGCCCAAGUCUAAGAGGGUGCUGAGGUGCCCAACCCCUCUACUAGGCAUUAGGUGCAUACCCAGCACCUGCUAGGCAUGACAACAUGCAUAAUAGGAUAGGUGUGUGCCCAUCUCAAAAUGGGCUCGAGCAUGUUGUCCGGGCCCAUGCACCUAUGCCUAGUAUGGGCUCGGGCUGCCAUGUCCGAGCCCAUGCUCCUUGAGCCCCAAUUGUAUAUUGGGCUCGAGCUUAGUAGGCCGAGCUCAAGGGGUGUUUUUUAGGCCUAUCUUGUAGGGGGGUUUUGAGUUUAUUUUAUUUGAAUCCAUUAGUUAGGAUGUAUAUUAUUGGGGUAGUAAUUUAUGUAAAUGUACGGUUUGCAUGUGCUAAAGUAGUUGCUGCUGGGAUUUUUAAGUUCACUAGUAGAAUAUUUCUUACUUGAGAACUAAUUCCAUUGUGACCCUUUUGGAAGAAAGAAGUUCUAUCAUCCCAUCUUUUUACUCAAAACAUGCGACAUGUACCUAGCUCACACAUACUAAGUGACAUGUAUCUAUUUUUUUUCUUUUAAAAAAAUGUAUUUAUUUCAUUUUAUUGUGCAAUAAAAAAAAAUAAAAAGACUAAAAAGCUCCUAAACCCUAGAAAAAUUGAUUUUAAAAAAUAACAAAAAAAACAACUUGCAUAAAUUUAGGUAAACAUGUCAAACCUGCUAACAAAGUCAUGAGAAUGAGAUUACCACGUAGAAAACAAAUAAAAAAACUUAAAGACGGGUUCUUAACCAACCUAUUGCUGAACUAUAAAAUUAAAAAGAACAUAAAUUAAAAAAAAAAUGAUAAAAAAUAACUCAAGUCAAUUUGAGUUAAUCUACAAAAUUUACAACCUUGGUUAUAAUACUAGAAUAACUCUAUAAAAAAAACAAACUAAAAAAAACCAUGCUUUUUUCUUAAAAAAAAAAUAAGUGAUAAGAAAAAAUUCUUCAAGAAAUACAACAUAGGAUUUUCUUGAGAUGCCGAGUCAUUAUUUGCAUGGAACAUCGUGGAUAAGAAAUAGCUGUCAAAAGGCUCUCUAAGAGUUCAAGACAAGGACUUGAUGAGUUAAAAAAUGAAGUAAAAGAUAUUUUGAAACUUCAACGCUAGAAUCUAGUGAGGCUUCUUUGGAUGCUGCAUUUAAAGAGAUGAAACGAUAUUGGUCCACGAGUUUUUACCUAACAAAAGCUUGGACUUCUAUAUUUUUUGUACGAGUCUCACAAAACCUUAUCAAAAAGUUGUUCCAAUUUUUCAAAUUUAGCACUAUUGAGCUUUGAUAUUGAGUUUGGUAUUACUUGUUCGACCAUCUGUUGAUCUUCCUUCAAAGCCCUUGGGAAAGUAGCUUUGUAGGGGAAGAGUACCUUUCUCCACGUUCAUUCACACAAAUUCUACCAUAGAUGUAAUUCUUGACUAGACCCUCGAACAUCACAGAACUGACCCCCCCACAAUGAACAUGGUCGUGACCUGACACCGAAUCUCACAGACUUAUCCUUACCUGAACCUCAAGUGCGUUGUACUAAACCCUAUCCCGACUCCCUACCCCCAAAUGCCAAAGAAAACCCAAAAGAUUGUAAAACAUGAAGUAUGUGUGGCAGUGGGUAAUGGUCAUGAUACUAGUGUUUGGAAAGAUCUUUGGUUGGGUAGCUCUAUAUUGGCAUUAUAAUUUCCAGGUUCAUAUAUCAUGUAUAAUGACAAAGAUGUAAGCAAGUAUCCAAGUGUGGAACUAACUCCAACUAAACCUUCUGAAGAAUAGGAUUUAAGCAAGUGAUAAGAUUGUUAUAGAAUGGAACUCUAAUUAUUGUGUUUGAUUAGAACUCUGCAACAUUGUUUCUAUUGUAUAUAUAUAACCUCUGAUUCAAUGAAUAAAGGUGAGCUUUUACGUUCCAUAAUCAGAUUGCAUCUCCACAUGGUAUCAGAUUAAUUGCACUGAAAUUUUCUUCUCUCCCUUCUUCCCUAGCUUCUUCUGUUCUAUUUAAAUCACCAUGAGUGAUUCCUCAAACACAACCCUUGUAACCAUUAAUGUUACAGCUCAAGCUCCAGCGAAACUCAAUAGUACCAACUACCUAUCAUGGCGACUUCAGUUUUAGAUGCUCUUCAUUGGCUAUGAUAUGCAAGGCUACAUAGACGACACAAAGCCAUGCCCAUCAAAAUAUCAUACCACCAAUACAACAAACUCCACCACUCAACCUUAAAUCCAGAAUAUCAUACCUGGAUAUGUCAAGACCAACUGAUUUUGAACGACAUCAUAGGAUCCAUUACACCAACCAUUAUUCUUGUAAAACCUCUGGGCGAAAAAUUAUAAUUUGACUAGUUUCAUGUAAAACAAAAAGAAAACAAUUUGUAACUCUCGAUCAGGUUAUCAGAAAAUUAUGAAAAUUUUCCUGGAGCCUUCUAAUAUGAUUCCUUAGCUUGGGUUAAAAUUUCAGAAUUUUUAGACAAAUUCAGAAAUUUGACGAAAAAUCACAAUUUGACUAGUUUUACGUUAUUGAACGUAAUUUUAAAUCCGACCAUCAGAUUGAGCUGAAAUUUUAUGAAGAACCUUAAAAUAUAUUAAAUAAAAUCUGGUUAAAAUUUUAGGAUGAACGGAGCUAGUUAGUGCUAUCAAAGAAUAAGGACCGUCAAAUGGAAGCAAAAAGACUCAUUAAGGGUAAAAUGGUAAUUUGCCAUUAAAAAUAAAACAAGGCAGCCCCUUUUCUGUUAUGAACUGCCGACUGGGCAGUAACAAACGUGGAAAGAAAAAAAAGAAAGAAAAUAAGAGAAGAACGUGAGAAGUUAAGAGAAAAAUAAGAAAAAGUGAGAGAGAGCUUUGAAACUUGUAAGAAUGAAAGACUUGGAACAUUAAAUUAAGGAAGAAUCAAGUGAAGGAAGAUAUAAGAAAGGUGAGGAAGGCUUGCCACACUAGGAGGAGAAGAAAAGUUGGGAGAACUUAGAUUGGUAAGCAUGAAAAGUUUAGAUUCUUACUUGAAUGAAGUGUUUUUGGGUUUAUUUGAGUAAGUUAUUAAACAAUGACAAUUAAAUUUGAUUUAAUUUCUCAUAAUCUUGAUUUUUUUAAAUUAGUGUUCUUAUGAGAAUUUGGGGAUUUUGAGCAAAAUAGUAAACAUGAUGGAAUUGAGGUAGAAUAGUAUAGAAAUAGUGAAUAUAAAUAGUAAUUAAGAAAGAAAUUGAAUAAUUUUGAAGAAAAGAACUUGUAAUUAAGGAUGAGAAAAUAUAGGAAUGAGAUUUUGAUUGUUUUAUGUUUGAGAAAUGAUGUUCUUUAUCUUAUUUGAAGUAUUCAAAAUAUGAACAAGUGAAGAAACAUCAUAAGAAUAAGAAUGUGAAAAGAAGGAAUAAAUAAAUGGUAGGAAAAGUUCAUGGGAGAAUUCUUUAAGUGAGUUAAAACAAGAAAAUUGAUUAAAACUAUAUGUUGAAAAUGAGGUGACAAAUGAAUGAAAAUUUUGGUGUAAACCCCAAUUAAAUAAAAGAUAUUAUGUGCUUCAAAUUUAGGCACGUAGAAGAAAUGAUAAUGGAUUAAUAAUGUAAUGCAAUAUGAUUGAUUCAGGAGUUGUACCGGGAGCAAGGCAUCAAGCAGGAGGAGUUGGGCCAUCAUGAGCUGACGGUAAGUGAUUCAUCACUUUCUUUUAAAAUUCAAAGUUUAAUUAUUAGUUAUGAGUUGUUUAUGACAUGUUGAUAUGGAAGAAGUAGAUGAAGAAACUGUUGGUAUUAUAAUUGAAUUACCGGUUAGUAUGAAUUACCGGUUGGUAUGAAUUACCGGUUGGUAUGGAAUUACCGGUUAGUUGGUAUGAAUUACCGGUUAGUAUAGAAUUACCGGUUGGUAUGGAAUUAUCGGUUGGUUAGUAUGAAUUACCAUUACCGGUUGGUAUGGAAUUACCGGUUGGUUAGUAUGAAUUACCGGUUGGUAUGGGAUUACCGGUUGGUUAGUAUGAAUUACCGGUUAGUAUAGAAUUACCGGUUGGUAUGGAAUUACCAGUUAUAUUGGCUAUUGAUAGAGAAUAGCCGGAUGUUGGGUAAUUCGUAUGGAAUUACCGGUUGUAUUGGCUAUUGAUAGAGAAUAACCGGAUGUUGGGUAAUUCGUAUGGAAUUACCGGUUAGAUUGGCUAUUGAUAGAGAAUAGCCGGAUGUUGGGUAAUUCGUAUGGAAUUACCGGUUUGAUAGUUGGCUAUAUAAGAGGGUUAGUCAGGUUUGAGGUAAAAUUUGUGAAUUAUCAAAUUAAAAAUUAAGCAAUGAGUGUUGGUUACAGAGGUCCUAUAAGUAUAGGAUUAAUAAAUUAUGAAUGGGUUAUUAAUGUUGAUAUAUAGUAAGUUGGUGAUGAAAGAUAAUUUGAUAUAUUUUGAAAACUUGUGAACAUAAUAACUUUAUCAUCUUUAAGGUGUUAUCUUUCUUAUUUCUUAUUAAUGUUAUGUAUACAGGUUUUUCACGAGGUGAUGCGGAGGGUUAAAUAUAGGCUUUGUGUUUUAAUGUGUUUAUUUUGUGGGAUGCAAUAUAUUUGCUUUAUAUGUAAUUUGUAUUAUAUGUAGAUUGUAAUAUAUGUAUCAUGAAGAUGUUUUGCUUUUGGUACUUAUACAUUUAAAAUGUAUGAGUAAGGAACUAAUAUUAUUAAACUAUUCAAAAAGAAUAUUUAGUAAUUAUAAUCAUGCAUGUUUAAAAGAUGAAUGCAUGUUAAUGUAAUAAUUAGUUCAAUAUGAAUCUUUUGAGUUUAUAAUUGUUUGUAGUUAAUGUGUUAUUUGUUGAUAAUGUAAGGUUGAGAAAAUACAAUGAAGUAUAGUUAUGUGAAAUAUUAUUUGAUGAGAUGGGAUAUGAUCCAGGAUGAUUGGAUCAAAGUGGAAGUUUUGAGUAUUGUGAUUGAAUGAAGUCUAGUCGAUAACUUGGUAAUAUCAGAAAACAUAAGAAACUCUGCCGAAAUUUCAAAAAAAAAAAUAAAUCCUAUAAUCUUAGACAUACCAUUCAAUACUUGACAUUAGUAAAGAAAUGUUUGAGAUUUCAUGACAUUAUAAUUUGAGGGUGUUACAAUUCCAUUUAUUGCUCGAGCCACAACAGCUCGCGAAGCAUGGAACAUCCUUGCAGCCCACAUAUGCCACUCCAUCUCGGGGUCGCAUCAAAUAGGUAAAAGCCAAUCUCAAAUCGCUAACCAAAGGCACCCUCAGCAUCAUAGACUUCCUGAAAUCAGUCAAGGCUAGAGCUGAUGGACUUGCAGUCCUAGGGGCACCUGUAGACAAUGAAGACCUGACGAACAAAAUCCUAGAAGAACUAGGUGAUGACUACAAAGAAUUGGUGAGAGCAGUGCAAGCCAGGGAGAAUGCCAUUAGCUUUGAUGAACUUCAUGAAAAAUUAUUAAUGUUCGAAUCCUCACUCUAGGCAACCAAUAAGGCUAUUAAUUUCUCCCCUACAGCGCAUCUCUCCAAUCGAACCAGUAACAGGUAUCACUUCAACAACGUUGGCCGAUCCGCGUCCAACAACUCAGGUGGAAAUUAGCGCCCCUCUGCCAACCAACACCACCGCUACACAGGACAAGCUGUAACCACUCACGCCACCACUAACAACAGGCGAUCUCAUCCAAGGCCAUAUCUGGGGUAUUGCCAAAUCUGUGGCAUUCAAGGACACACAGCAAAAAAAUGUCCCUCAUUCCAUCUUGUUCCCCUCCACAGCAACCAAACUUACAGUCCUACUCCGUGGCAACCGCAGGCCAACCUUGCAGAGACUAGUCCCCCGACUCGUUCUCCAUGGCUUCUGGGUAGUGGGGCGUCCCACCACAUCACGGUAGAUCUCCAAAAUUUGGCUCACCACUUGCCCUACACCGGCACAGAUGAUGUUAUGAUAGGGGAUGGUAAAAGUCUAUGAAUUACACACUUGGGUUCCUCUACUCUUCAAUCAUCUGCUCAUUCUUUUAAACUUCAAAAUAUAUUAUGUGUGCCUGAUAUUAAACGCAAUUUACUCUCAAUAUAUCAAUUUUGCAUUGAUAAUAAUGUAUCUGUUGAGUUCUUACCCUGGUGUUUUUUUGUGAAGGACUUGUUGUUAGGAGAAAUUCGCGUAAAGGGUAAAACCAAAGAAGGUGUGUACGAAUGGUCGUGCGUUGUCACCCCUCAUGCCUUUUCCAGUCUCAAAAUAGCUCCCAUAAAUUGGCAUUUUUGAUUAGGUCAUCUAGUUGUUUCUGUUUUAACAACAAUUUUAAGUAAUUUGAAUUCGUCUUCAGUAUCCAAAGACUUUGUCUGCAAUGCAUGUCACUGUAAUAAGAGUCACAAGCUACCAUUUUCUGUCUCCACUUUGACUUCUCAUAAACCUCUUGAAAUAAUAUUUUUUGAUGUAUAGACAUCACCUAUUUUGUAUGUUGAUGGUUUUAUUAUUUUUGUGGAUCACUUCACUAAAUACAUAUGGUUUUAUCCGCUAAAGAAAAAAUCUGAUGUCAAAAACACCUUUAUUCGCUUUAAAGCAGUCGUGGAAACUUAUUUCAAGAAAAAAAUUGUGACUCUGUAUUCUGACAAUGGGGGUGAAUAUGUUGCGUUAACAGAAUUCUUUGUUAUACAUGGCAUAUCUCAUCUGACAUCACAAUGGCUUUGCUGAACGCCGCUAUAUGUAUAUUGUAGAAACAGGCCUUUCACUUUUAACUCAUGCAUCUUUACCAUGUAUUUUUUGGUCUUAUGCUUUUGCUACCGCGGUCUAUCUCAUUAAUCGCAUGCCGACUACCACGUUACAAAAUCUUUCGCUUUAUGCAGUUAUUUUUCAACAUUCCCCAAAUUAUGAAAAACUUCAUAGUUUUGGAUGUUUAUGUUAUCCUUCGCUUCGCCCGUACACUGCUCAUAAAUUAGACCCUCGUUCCAAAGCAUGCAUUUUCCUAGGAUAUUCUCUAUCACAAAGUGCUUAUUUAUGCUUUGAACCCGAGUCCUAAAAAAUCAUUGUGUCCAGGCAUGUGUCCUUCAUCGAGCAUAUUUUUCCAAAUCAUGAUUUACACAAACAGGAGUCACCAUGCAUAUCUACAUCAGUUGACAUGUGGAUUCCACCAGUUUCACCAUUCCAUCAUCCACUUCUACACACUCUUCUGUGGCUGCACCUGUAGCAAGAGCUCUCCCUUCAGUCUCUCCCCUGCCAGUGGUCUUUCAUCCCUCACCAGGGCUGGACAACCCAUCAGACAUCCCUUCCCUGCCUUCUUCCACUACUCCUAUCUCUACCCCGACCAUCCUAAACCCAACAACAACCAUACCCACACCGAUAAAACCUCUUCCUUGUCACCCUAUGACAACCCGAUCCAAAAACAAUAUUCAUAAACCCAUUCAGAAACUCACGUACACUACCACCCUAACCACUCAGCCUCAAGAACCCACCAACCUUGCACAGGCCACAAAAGAUCCACAAUGGCGGUCUACCAUGAAUGAAGAGUAUAGUGCUCUGUUAUGCAAUGGCAUUUGGACUUUAGUCCCACCUGUUUGUGCUUUUAACUUGGUUGGCUGUAAGUGGAUUUUCAGGAUCAAACGAAAUGCAGAUGGAACAAUGGCUCGUUACAAAGCCAGACUUGUAGCCAAAGGUUUUCAUCAGCGUCCUGGACUGGACUAUUACGACACAUUCAGUCUUGUUGUGAAACCUAUGACAGUCCGCUUAGUUCUCAGCAUUGCUGUCAGCAAUGGAUGGACACUUCGCCAACUUGACAUUAACAAUGCAUUUCUUCAAGGCACUCUUGCUGAGGAUGUAUACAUGGCCCAACCUCUGGGCUUUCAUGAUCUGGACAAACCUGAGUUUGUAUGUAAACUUAGAAAAGCAAUUUAUGGCUUGAAGCAGGCACCUCAUGCGUGGUAUCAUGAACUAUAUAAUUUUCUGAAUGCAUCGGGUUUUUCUAACUCCCUGGUCAAUACAUCACUUUUCAUCUUCCAUCAGCACUCUCACCUCAUUUAUCUUCUGGUUUAUGUGGACAAUAUUAUUGUUACAGGGGAUAAUGAACAUGCUAUCAAUCAAUUCAUUCAACGUUUAGCAGCUCGAUUCUCCUUAAAAGAUUUGGGCUCUCUGCAGUAUUUUAUGGGCAUUGAAAUUCAGUCUCAUCCCAUUGAUGGCAAGCUUCUCUCAUAGCACAAGUACAUUAUGGAUCUACUACACCAAACCAACAUGGCUCAUGCAAAACCCAUGCCAACUCCGCUGCCUCCUGGCUGUAAACUAAGCUUGGACAUGGGUGCUCCUCUGGCUAAUCCUACACAUUAUCGUGCAACAAUAGGAAGCCUUCAGUAUCUAUCUCUAACUUGGCCUGAUGUUUGUUUCGCUGUAAACAAGCUCUCCCAAUUCAUGCACAAGCCCACCGAUGUCCACUGGAAACUAGUGAAAUGUCUCCUUCGAUAUUUACUUGGCAUUGUCAACCACUGUUUGCUACUUCAUCGUCAUUCCACCUGUUCAGUUCAUGCCUUUUCUGAUGCAGACUGGGAGGGAAACAAGGAAGAUUUAUCCUCCACCAGCGCCUAUGUAAUCUAUCUUGGUCAGAAUCCCAUCUCCUAGUCUUCUAAAAAGCAACACAUCACGACACGUUCGCCCACUGAAGCUGACACUACCAGAAAUUCGCUUAAUAGCAACGGAUUUAUCGACAAAAUAUUUAUGUCGGUAAUUUGAGGUCGAAAUUACCGACGAAACUUUUUCCAUCCGUAAUUUAGUCGGUAACUACCGACGGAAAGUGUCUGUCGGUAGUUACUGAGUAAAUUAUGGACGGAAAGUUCAGAAUUAAAAAAAAAAAGGCGGGUCGCUGACGUGGAGGUUUAGGCGGGGUUAUUUUUACCGACGGAUUCAAAACGACAGCCCUGUACAGUGACAUGACGGGUUCACCGUUUAAAAUGCCGACGGAAUCACUGAGGGAUUCGAAAUGACAGAUCCGUACGGUGACGUGACUGGUUCACCGCUUGAAAUGCCGACGGAAUACCAAGGGAUUCGAAAUGGCAGAUCCAUACGGUGACGUGUUGAUUUUUCCGUCAGAAUAGCCGACGGACUCACCGAUGGAAAAUCCGUCGGUGAAACCGUCGAAAAAAGUUAAUAUAUGCCCUCUCUGCCGACCCUCUCCUCCCUUAUUUCUCCUUCUUCUUCCUAAUCCCAACUCUCCCCAUCUGCAAACAACCAGCCCCCCCUCCCCCCCAAACAAAAAUCUCCCUCAUCUCAGCACAACAAGUUAUAUUUCUUGAAGUUUUGUGGUCACAACAUCCGUGUUCUGAUUUGCCGACGGAUUUUAUCAAUUUUUGUAAGUAAUUCUAUCUUUUUAAUUUUUAACAUUUAAAUGUCAAUUUUAUUGUUUUUUUAGUAUAUGUAUUUUGUUAGUAGAUGUACAUGUUUUAUUGUUAUUUCUCAAACAAACUUGUAGUAUAUGAAUGUAUAAUUUUAUACCUGUUAUGGUUUGUUUUAGAUUUUGUAAGAUUGUAUUUGUUUGUAAAUUGUUAAAACUUUAUGGAAUUACCGAAUUACAUGUGUUGUUUUGAAAUAAUUAAUAGAUUGCUUAAUGGGUCCGUUUAAAGUUUUAUCAAUGGUAUUGCGGAGUGGUAAUUUCUGUAAAGUUAUAUAUAUUAAUUUGUAUGGACGUUGAUAAAUGAUAAUGAAUAUUUAAUAUUUAUGAGAAGUUGUAAUUAGUUUGUUGGAUAAUCUCGAGGUAAAGUAAUAUUUUUGCAAGUUUAUUUACGUAACUUAGUUAAUUAAUACAUGAUGUCAUCAUAAUUUUAUAGAGGUUCGAUAUAAGUCAUGGAUAAUCGUUCAUGGAUGUAUCGAGAUUCACCCCAAGGAUUGCGGAGGAUUGAUUAUUGUAACGAGGUUCAGGGUUUUAUUAAUUUCGCAACAUCUAUUCCCAGAAAUUUUACUGGAGGUGGUAUUAGGUGUCCAUGCAGGAAGUGUCAAAAUAAAAAAUAUCUGCAUCUAGAUGUUGGAAUGAUGCAUCUUCUACAUAAAUGGUUUAUGGAGAAUUACCAGUGUUGGUAUGCACAUGAAGAAGUAUUUGUUAGUAAGAGGAGAAUGGGAGAAACGGUGGUUGGGUCAACUUCUAGUGCUAGCAACGUGCAUGAAGUGGCAAAUGACAACACUAAUCCUUACAGAAAUAUGGUUAUGGAUGCAAUGAGAAUGAAUCAAGGUAAUGUCAGUCAAUAUCCAAUCGUAGAAGAAGAACCUAAUACAGAUGCAGCUAGGUUUUUUGAUUUGUUGAAAGAUUCUGACGAACCAUUAUGGGAUGGCUGCACAAACCACAGUAAAUUAUAUGUCGUAGCACAGGUGUUCACCAUCAAGUCAGAUCACGAGUUGAGUGAGGCCGGGUAUGAUAAAAUUAUUGAAUGAGCGAGAAGCAUUUUACCUGAAGGGAACAGGUUGAAAGAGAACUUCUAUGCUGCGAAGUCCAUGAUGAAACCUCUCGGUUUAGGAUACCAGAAAAUUGACAUGUGCCCUAACUUCUGAAUGUUAUACUACCUUGAAAAUGCUGAGAUGACCGAGUGCAUGACAUGCGGGCAUUCCCGUUACAAACCUAGAACUGGUAGGGGAAAGACUCUAGUGGCAUAUAAAAAACUUAGAUACUUCCAGAUCACACCUAGACUGCAGAGGUUAUUCAUGUCACCAAGGACUGCUGAGCACAUGACAUGGCACCAAGCACAUGAUGCGGUUGAUGGAGUGAUGGCACAUCCUUCUGACGGCGAAGCGUGGAAACGCUUUAACAAUGUUCAUCCUCACUUUUCAGCUGAAUCAAGGAAUAUGCAUCUUGGGUUGUGUACAGACGGAUUCAACCCAUUUGGGUCAUUUGCUGCUCCUUAUUCUUGUUGGCCGAUCAUACUCACAGUUUAUAACUUGCCACUGGGAAUGUGUAUGAGGCCGGAGUUCAUGUUUUUAUCUACUGUCAUACCCGGUCCAAGCAACCCGGGGCGGAAUAUAGAUGUUUGUCUUCAACCGUUGAUUGAUGAGUUGGCGCAGUUGUGGUCCUCCGGAGCUCUGACUUAUGAUAUAUCGAGGAAACAAAAUUUUCUUAUGAGGGCGGCUUUAAUGUGGACUAUCAAUGAUUUUCCAGCUUAUGGAAUGCUUUCUGGUUGGAGCACGCAUGAGAAACUCGCAUGUCCAUACUGCAUGGAAAACAACAAGGCAUUCACGCUAGCAAACGAAGGUAAAGCUUCUUUUUUUUACUGUCACCGUCGCUUCUUGCCACUUAAUCACAUGUACAGAAAGAAUAGAAAAGAUUUCUUUGUUGGCAGAGUUGAAAAAUAUGUUGCAUCCCCGCGUCUUUCUGGUAAAGAAUUGCAUGAUGUUGUAUCAGAGUACGGUGACAUUGUGUUUGGCCUUCAAUCAGGUAAGCAAAAGUUUCCUGGUUUUGGUUUGACCUAUAAUUGGGUAAAGCCAAGUAUCUUUUGGGAGCUUCCUUAUUGGAAGACCAAUCUGCUCCGUCAUAACCUUGACGUCAUGCACAUCGAAAAGAACAUUUUCAACACCGUCAUGGAUGUGAAGGGGAAGACAAAGGACAACAUCAAGGCUAGAUUGGAUAUAGCUUUAUACUGUAACCAUAAAAAUAUGGAGUUGGUUUAUGAUGAGUCACGGGUCGCAAAACCAAGAGCAAGCUUCGUGUUAGAGAAAAACGCACAACUGCUACUCUACAAAUUGCUUAAGAGUCUGCGUUUUCUGGAUGGACAUGCAUCGAACAUAUCAAGGCUGGUUAAUAUAGAGGACUGCAAAUUGCAUGGAAUGAAGAGUCAUGACUGCCACGUGUUUAUGCAAACACUCAUCCCAUUAGCUUUUCGUGAUUUAUUGCCAAAGGGAAUAUGGGAUGCACUAAUAGAGAUCAGUCAUUUCUUCAGAGAUAUAUGCUCCAGCAAGUUGAAUGUUGAGCACAUUGAGAGGCUUCAAACGAAUAUCGUCGAGACACUAUGCAAACUUGAGAUGAUAUUCCCUCCAUCAUUUUUUGACUCAAUGGAGCAUCUCCCUAUACAUCUACCGUUCGAGGCAAAAGCUGGAGGACCGGUCCAGUAUAGAUGGAUGUACCCAUUCAAACGGUUAGAUAUUAUAGUUGCAAUGUAAUUCAUAUAUAAAAGUAUUUUCUAUGUUUUUCUUAAUUGAAAAUACUUGAUUAAUUCAAUGCAGGUACUUGUUUAAUCUCAAGAAAAAGGUUAAGAACAAGGCGCAUGUUGAGGCUUCGAUAUGUGAGGCCUAUAUUGUUGAGGAGAUCUCAAUAUUUAUCUCGUACUAUUUUGAACCUCAUCUGAGAACGAGAAUCAAUCGCGUUCCACGGCAUGAUGAUGGCGGUGAAGUGCCUUCCAGUGGGAACUUGUCAAUAUUCUCCAAUACUGGAUGACCCAUACCUAAAAAUGUCGUAAGAGGAAGAUAUUUGUCGGAACUAGAGUUCAAACAAGCACACAACUAUGUUUUAUUUAACUGUGAUGAGCUUAGACCUUUUAUUCAGUAAGUUUAUAUAUGUGUAAUACUAAUUAAACUUUGUUAGUAAUAUACUGUUAAUUAUAUAUUGUAAUAUCAUACACUCAUUAUCACUUGCAGGCAACAUCGAUAAUAUUUGCUCUGCAAUAACUCACAGCUGACCGAAUCCAAGAUCUUUCAAUUACAAGAUGAACAAUUUGCCACGUGGUUUAGAACACAUGUAAGCACUAUCACAAACUCAUUCUAACUUGCAAAAUUACUGUACGUAUGCAUGUCAUUACGAGAUUCUCGUUCAUUUACUGUUUAUUGAUGUACAUUACAUACAAGGUUUAUCAAAUGGGAAGGAGUGCGCCUAAGUCAUUGUCUUCACUAAGCCUAGGGCUUGAAAGAAAAUGUAAGUGCUACAACAGGUAUUUUGUCAAUGGAUAUGUUUUCCAUACUGAAGAAUACGGGCAAGGAAGAAAGACAUACAACAGCGGUGUUUGUGUUUAGGGAUCAACUAGUAGUGAGUUAGAAGUUGACUACUAUGGUAGAUUAGAAGAGGUCGUAAAGCACACAAGCUGGACAAUUGGCUGUAAAGCAUUCUAUACCUGGUUCCCCUAAAUUCUCUAGUUUUGUUCACUUCCCAAUCUUUACAUCCACUGCUUCUUGUCAAUUUUUAGCUUCUGAUGUAUCUCCCCCUGAUGAUUCACUGAAAUUCUGUCUCAUUGGGUUUGUUGCGGGCAAAUGCCCUGGAUAUAAUUUGUUGUCUCAAUUUAUUGUUCAAAACUGGAAUUAUCAUGCUAACCUCACCAUGCAUGAUUCUGGAUGGUUGAUAUUUGAAUUUCUCUCCGAAUCUGCUAUGUUGGAUACUCUGGGUGGGGGACCAUAUUCUGUUUUUGGUCGGCCAUUAAUCUUGCAAGUCAUGCCUGAUUUUUUUGACUUCACUCCACCUGACCUGACCAAGAUGCCCACCUGGGUGCGCUUUCCAAAUCUACCUAUUCGGUGCUGGACACCCCUUUACUUAUCCAAACUUGCUAGUGUGAUUGGCAGGCCUUUGCAUUGUGAUGAACCCACCUACACCAAGUCUAAACUUUUUUAUGCUCGGGUUCUCAUUGAGGUUGACUUACUUGGCACUUUGCCUGAUUUGGUUUCUGUUCAGCUUCCCAAUGGUUCAACCUUGGGUCAACAGGUUAUUUAUGAAUCCCUUCCCCGUUUCUGUAAGAACUGUGCUUCCAUGGGGCAUUCCACUUCCUCUUGCAAGAAAAGCUCCUCUAAACGCAAGCUCAGCUCUUCGGAAGGCCACACAGCUACUUCUCCCUCUACUGCCAAGCCAACUGCUGAACCUCAACAUCUGUCUGGCUGCUCCAUAGUUCCCUUGGCAGGACCCCUGACCAAGGUGACUGACACUCCUACUUCCUGGAGGCAAUCCUCUCCAGGGCGUAAGCGGACCAAGGUUUUCUUGGCCAAUACCAUAGCUUCAACCUCUGUAUUUGGUCCCCCUUCAUGUUAGGGGCCCUCUGGUGUUCCACCCUCUUGGCAGUUUCUCAACUGCUGCUCCGAUCCCAUGGUUUCACAGCAAUAUAUGGGUCAACCGAACUCUAGCAAUCUGCCCUCUAAUAGUAGAUCUGAUGAGUCGGCCCGUACAACACCUAUAUAGUUUCCUGUGGCCUUGCAGCUCUGUGGUGGCUUCGAUGCUGCCUUGUGCUCUUUUCAGUUGAUAGGUUUUCUUUUUCAUGGUUGCUUUGUUUGGCAGGUUUUUUCUUGUAGUGCCUUCUUGGCUUGUGAUGGCUUUAUUUCAGCCUGGCAUUUUGUUUUCCUUCUGCAAUGCUUGGACAUUGGCCGUUGGAUUUGUUGGCUUGCUGCUGUCUUGGAGCCAUGUUUGUUAUGCUCUGUAACUCUGUUCUUUUGAUCCCCUGAGUGGGCACCUGUUGUAGCUGUUUGCUCCUGAAUGGGAGGCCACUUAUCUGAUCCUGGAGGAGUGCCCGGUUGAGGGGCUAUGGUUUGCUUAAUGCUAUCGGAUAGUAGAUAAUGUAUAUGUUGCCUUGAUGUUGCUUGGCUGGCUAUUGGUUGUGCUUGCUUACCAUGCAUGAGGGUUGUUCAUGCUAUUGUAUAUGGGAUUCUUUCCCUUUCUAGGACUGGCUUGUUCUGGGGAGUCUGUUCCCCUGCACUUGCCUUUUAUGUUUUCUUUGCUUCGUUUAAGGGAGCAUGUUCCCUCUGCUGGUGCAUGUAAUGUUCUGCUGGUUUCCAGCUUGUACUGCAAGCUUGUCUUGCUCUUUUUUGAUCUAUACAUUACUUACAUUUGAUCCAAAAAAAAAAAGGUCGUCGAACUGCAAUAUCAUAGCGAGCAAAAUAGAGUGUUUUUAUUCAAAUGUUAUUGGUAUGACACGACUGACAGAGGAAUCAGAGUUGAUCCGCAUUAUGGUCUGGUCGAAAUCAACUCAAAAGCUAGACUCCGCAACAUAAACGAUGUCUUUGUUUUCGCAAAGCAAUGUCAACAAGUUUAUUACACAUACACCCCUUCAUUUAGAAAGGAUCGAUCAAGAGUGGAUUGGUUGUCCGUUUUAAAAAGGAAACCCUGGGGUCGUGUCGAGGUUGUUCAGGAUGAGAACAAAGACACAAGUGUGCGAGAUGUAGUCUUUCAAGUUAGUGAGUUGGUUGAACCAUAUCAAGUUGCUCCUUCGAUUGAAUUGGAAGAAAAUUCAAAUUUUCAUGUUUUCGAUGAUAGUCUUGUUGAUGUUGACGCAGAGGAGUUGAAUGUUGUUUUGAGCUCUAGCGGAUAAGCAAAUGUCGAUGAAGAAGAUGAUAUCUAUAUUGAAGAUUGCGAUGAAGGUGAUGACUAUUCAAUUGAUGACGAAGAAGAAGAAAAUUCUGACUAACUAUCAAAAUGAAGCCCUGUGUAAAACCCUUUUUUUCAUGUAAUUUAGAUUAUGGAUGAUAUAUUUUGUAACACGAAAUAUUUAUUGUUUAAGCACUGUUGUUAUUGUUUUGUACAAUGGACAAUUUAUCAUUUAAGUUUUUGCAGGAAGGUAAAGAGGCAAUACAAACACAACCUUUCUUGUACAAUGCAACAAUUACCGACGUCCAUACCGACGGAUUCAAGUCCGUCGGCAUUUCACAGAGAGUUCAAAAAUAAUUACUUGAAAUGCCACAAUCACCGAUGUCUAUACCGACGGAAUAAUGUCCAUCGACAUUUCACAGAGAGUUCGAAAAUAAUUACUUGAAAUGCCACAAUCACCGACGUGCAAACCGACAGAUGUACGUCCGUCGGUAAGUUGUCAGCGGGUCAAUGUUACUGACAAAAUUACCGACGGACUGUGUGAAUUCCAAAGGGUGGUGAUUUAAAUGCAUCUCUGACCGCGCCAGCUUGCCGAUGGAAUUACCGACAGACCACGAAAAAUAUGGAGGGUGAUUAAAAAUUUUGGUGCGAAAUUCAAAAAUUACUGACGGAUUUUUGACACUUCACCGACGGAAUAAAUUAAAAUAAUAAUUAAUUUUAUUUCCAUCGGUAAAACUGCCCUAUAAGUUCCAGCGACCGCCUAUUCAAUUUAUUUUUUCUUCUCCUCCGUUUUUCACCUUAAAUUUUGAUUUUUUUCCUCUCAAUUCUUCAAAGCUUUCACCUACAAUUUCUAGCAAGUUUUCUUGUGAAUCUUCAUCAGUUUAAAAGGUAUGUGUUUCUUCUAUUUCAUUUUACUUUAAGGGUUUUUUUUUUAGCUAUUUUUAUUUUUGUUAUGUUUUUUGUAAUGUAGAUAAAGUCUUGAAUUCAACACAUUAUUAAAGUAAGCAUAUUUCAUUCCUAAAGUCUAUAGUUUUUUUUUUUUUGAAUUUAUUGAAUAUUUUUUAUUGUUGUAUUGGCAUAAUUAUUAUUAGUUAAUUUGUUGAAUAUUUAUUGUUAAUGUUGAAUUUACCUUAGAAUUAGUAAUUGAAUAUGUUGGAAUAAUUAUUAAUUUUACUCUAUUAUUGCAUGAUUUGUGUUUAAUUUUUUCCAUUUAUUUUGAUUGUUAGUCUAGAGUUUUUUUUGAAUUUAUUGUUUUGUUGUAUUGGCAUAAUUAUUGAAUAAUUUUUUGAAUUGUAAUUGUUAAUGUUGAAUUUACCUUAGUAUUAGUAAUUGAAUAUUUUGGAAUAAUUAUUAAUUUUACUCUAUUCUUGCAUGAUUUAUGUUUAAUUUUUUCCAUUAAUUUUAAUUGUUAGUCUAGAGUUUUUUUUUAUUUAUUGAAUAUAUUUUAUUGUUGUAUUGGCAUAAUUAUUGAAUAAUUUAUUGAAUUGUAAUUCUUAAUGUUGAAUUUACCUUAGGAUUAGUAAUUGAAUAUGUUGGAAUAAUUAGUAUAGAUUGGGUCAAUUGGUUGUGGCUAUUGUUAAUAUGUGCAGGUUUGUGGAUUUGGGUAGUAUCCAGUAUAGGGGAGGUGCUGUUGAAUUUUUUUUUUAACAUUUGAAUUUAAUUAUAUAAUUAUUUGUAUAAAAUUAUGUAGAUGCGUAGAAUGAAAACCAGAGCUGGUCGCUCACGUAUGGUCGCAGCUAGUUCGUCUAGCAGCGAGGAUGAUAUUUCCUUAGGUGCCUCUCAAGAAGAGGCACCUACACCACCUGCGCCAUCAACCGAUGUUGCCUCUUCCAGCACUAGUUCACAGCGCAGAGGCAGCGUGCCUUCGCAGUGAAUCAAUUUACCCGCAAGUACGAAGCACAGUGGAAGGACGACCUUUCAAUGUAAGUUUGUUAAGGUUUUAGUUUUUUUUUUAAAAACAAUUACAACAUAAUUUAUGAAGUAAUCACUAUUGAAUUUAUUUCAUUUAUUUUCAGGUUCACAAACAUUGAGGCCGCCCGAGUAAUAUCAUCGGCGUUUAAAUUGUCGAUGGAGAUUCCAUUGUUUCAAUGGAGUCAGAUAUCCAAGCAUCCUAAAUGGAUGCCUCAAAUCAAUGCAUGGUUUGACAGAUUUGAGGUUGGUGUUAAUUUAUUUCAGCUUAUUUCUAAUAAAUUAUUAAUAUAAUUGUAAAUAAAUUAUUAUUUUUAUUUAAAAUUAAUUACUUAUACACAGGAAAAAUUUUGCUGGGACAGUGAGCAUAACACUGUUGUGAGGAGGGUGUGGGAAAAUCACGCGGCAACUAGGUAACAUCGAAAACAAUACAAGAUUUUUUUUAGACAAAAAUUUAUGUUUCGAAAUGUAAUUUUUGGUUGCGUGAAAUAGGUUGCGUGAUUUUUGGUAUGAAGCACAAAAAAGGGCAAAACAAACCGCGAGAGAUAGGGGUUUCCAAGGCUGGAAUGAUGUUGUGGUUUGGAGGGAUUUCAAACCGAUAUGCAUCCCGGAAGAUAUAUGGCCGCACUAUCUUGAGCACGUGAUAUUUGAGCGAUUCACACGACGCUCACAGUCUGGUGCUGGCAACUGGAAUCAGUCAAUUCAUGGCUCGGUGACAACACACACCGGCGGCUCCGUUCUGUUUGCUGCACAUGCGAAACGGAUGGUAAGAUUAAUUUAAAUGAAAUAUAUCGUUAAAUUAAGUUGUUAAUAAAUCUUUUUUCAUUAUAGGCUACGUCUCUUGGACGUGAGCCGAGCCCGAUGGAGCUGUUUGUGGAGACGCACAUGCGGAGUCAAGACCGCCAAAAGGGGGCGCAACAGUUCGUUGACAACCGUGCUCAACAUUUCGUGGUAUGUUUGUUCAACCAUUUUAUUUUGUAAGUUAUUAUGUUUAUUGAAUUGAAUAUGAUGAUUAUUUUUUUUAUUUUCAGGAGACCUAUAAUAAUCGGUUGAGGGAGAGAUACGGGGACGAUACUUUGACCCAUCCAGAAUUCGAUCCGGAUUUGUGGAUGGAGGUCGGAUCGUCAGGUGGACCCGAUAAAAAUCAGGUUUACGGGCUCUCCAACACUACGGCCGACAACUUGCGGUCGGCCCGUAGUGUUUCAACCGUUGGGAGCUCCCAAUCAAUAUCGAGCUCCCAAUCUAAGGAGUUCGUAGCCUUGCAGCAACACACGGCUCAACUCACCGAAAAAUACGACCACCUAUUAGCGGAGUACGCACAACUCAAAGCGUCUCAAGCACAACAAAGAGCGGAGUCUGAACAACAAAAAGUGGCUUAUGAACAGUUUCGCCAAAUGGUCAUGAACAUGGCAACACAGAGUGGAACAUGUGCGCCUAAUCCUUUUUGGUCGUAUAACCACCAACCUCCUCCUCCUCCUCCAGCUCCACCUUUAUAUUAAUUUGUAAUAAAUAUUAUUUACCUUUAAAAUUUCAUUUAAUAUUUUUUUUGAAACACAUUCAAUUUGUAAUGAAUAUUAUUUAACUUUGAUUUUUUGUUUUUGAUGUUUAAUAUAAAUUUUAUUUGCAUAAUUGGUUUUUAUUACCAUUAAUUUAUAUAAUUUUAUAUUAUGUAUUCUAAAUAAUUUUUUAAAAACAAAUUUAGAAAAAACUAUUACAAAGGGUUUUACCGACGGAAUGAAUCUGUCGGCAUUUGACAGUAGCUGCCACAUUCACCGACGCAUUUACAAACGGAUAUAUUCGGUCGGUAUUUCAUACACUCACCGACAGCUUUACCGACGGAAUUAAUCCGUCGGCAUUUGACAGUAGCUGCCACAAUUACCGACAAAUUUACAGACGGAUAUAUUUGGUCGAUAUUUUAAACACUCACCGACAAAGCUACCGAUGGUACGUGGCCGUCGGUAAAUCACAAUAUCAUCGACGGAAUAAAAUCCGUCGGUAUAUUUCAAGCGGGAAACUUUUUUUUGCGCUCAAAUUCCGUAUGUAAAACCAUCGGCAAAUGGUUUUUUUGUGUUUCCGAUCAAUAUAGCGAUGGAAUGUGGAAUUACCGACGAAAGGAAAGCCGACGGACAUAUUUCGUCGGUGAAGACGUCGGUAAAUAAUUCACCAACGAACUGGUAAUCACACACCGACAGAAUAUUUCCGUCGGUAAAACUGUGAAAUCUUGUAGUGUGAAUACAGAGUAGUUGCAGACACAGCAGCUGAAAUCAGUUGGGUGUGCUCUUUACUGUCCGAACUACAUUUCCCAGUAAGUCAUACUCCAGUCAUUUACUGUGACAAUAUUAGUGCCACCCAGCUGAGCUCUAAUCCUGUGUUUCACUCAAAACUGAAACAUGUUGUUAUUGAUUCUCACUUCAUUCGACAAAGGUUUCAAUCUGGUGCUCUACAAGUGUCUCAUGUAUCUUCAAACGAUCAGUUAGCUGAUGCACUGACGAAAUCACUACCCCGCUCACAGUUCUGGCUUCUUAAAGACAAGAUUGGACUCAUUGACCCCGUCCAUCUUGAGGGGGCAUGUAAGCAAGUAUCCAAGUGUGGAACUAACUCCAACUAAACCUCCUGAAGAAUAGGAUUUAAGCAAGUGAUAAGAUUGUUAUCGAAUGGAACUCUAAUUAUUGUGUUUGAUUAGAACUCUGCAACAUUGUUUCUACUGUAUAUAUAUAACCUCUGAUUCAAUGAAUAAAGGUGAGCUUUUACGUUCCAUAAUCAGAUUGCAUCUCCACAAAAGAUUCAUCUAUUGCAAAUAUAGGUGUAUGAGAUGAUUUAGUCUAGAUUUAAAAGCUUAAGUGGAGAAGGCCCCUUAGAGAUUGGAGAAGAAAUCUAUUAAUCUUUUUAUCUAAUUUCUUAUCCAAAGUGGUAAUGUCUUGUGAGGUGAAGGAUAAAUUGAUAUGGAUUUCAAACUCUAUUGGGAUGUAUACUGUCAAGUCCAUGUGUGGGCUUUUAUCAUCUCCUCCUCAAUAUGGUACUUGUUUUUUCUUUCAAUGGUCUAUGAAAAGGUUUAGUCCCUCCUAAAAUGGAUGUUUUUUUUUUGUUGGUUGGCUAUUCUUAAUAGAAUCAACACCAUAGGAGUUUUAGGGAGAAAAGGCAUUAUUUGAGUUGAGGAUGCAUUCUGUCCAAUAUGUUUUCUAUCUAAAGAGUCAGUGGAACAUCUCCUUAUUCAUUGUCAAAACCACUAGAAAAUUUGGUCUAGAUUCAUGGAAUGGUGAGGUUUAUCCCGGUGUUUGUCCUAGCAGUUAAUUUAUCAGAUUUCCUUAGUAGAUCAUUAGGCACCUUGGACUCCACUCAACUUUAACUACUCAGGCUUCCUAUACUCUUUCUUGGUCUAGAUUCAUGGAAUGGUGGGUUUUAUCCCGGUGUUGUCCAAGCAGUUUAUCAGAUUUUCUUUAGCAAUGGAAAGUUAUGGUUAAAGGAAAAUUUCAAAGGAAGGUAGAAUUUAUGUUAUUUUUUUUGUGAUUAUAUAGUCUUUAUAGCUCAUUCGUAAUGACCUGAUCAUCUUUAAUAAAAAAAGCCAGAUUAUGAUACUUUGUUUCUUCUUAUCUUAAUGUGUAGUUAAAAGCUAUUUUUUCUUUUUUUCAUAUAAUGUCCUCGAUUUGCUUAUAUAUUUUGAUGGGUUGGUUAGAUGGACUAAUCAUAAAAGUGCUAGACCUCUUAAUUAUUAUAUAGUCUUAACGAGCAACUCAAUGGCUAAAAUUAAAUGUGGAUGGAUCUUCCACUGGAGAACCUGGUAAUGCUGGUAUUGGGGGUGUUCUUCGAGUUCAUAAGGGUGUAGUUCAAUGUAUGUAUAGAUCUAUACCAGUAGGGAUUAAAGAUUCUAAUGAAGCAGAGCUAAUUGCAGUGAUUAGAGCAUUGGAACUAUCAUCUACUAGAGAAGAAUGUACAGGGAAGAGAAUUAUAGUUGAAUCUGAUUCCACCAAUGUGAUCAACAGGAUGAUUAAAGAGUCUAAUAGACCAUGGAAAUUCUAUGUGCUUUUCAUCCUUGCAUCUAGAUUUUCUUCAGGUUUGAGACUGGUAAAGUAUUCAAAUAUUUUAAGGGAGGGUAACAGUAUGACAGACGCCCUUACAAAACAAGGUUUUACUAGAAAUUAUGAAUUGAUGACUUGGUUUUAACCAUUUUUUUUUCAGGUUACUUAUCUAUGUUAUGAUCACCAUGGAGAUUUCAUGUAUUUGGCUUCUUUAAAGUUCGGGUUGAUAUUUUGAUUUCAUUAAUUUCCGAGAAGAGGUAGACUGGUGGUCGUUGAUAAGAGAUAGAAUCGAGCAAGAGAUGGAUCUCUAACAAUAUUCUACCACUACUACUCUGGUUACGUAUCGAAUCCAAUCUAUCUACCAAAUCAUAAAUUGAUGGUAUUAAAUCCAACUAUGAAAACUUUUAAAACCAAAUCAAAAUGUAUUGUUAUUUUUUUUUAUGAUUUUUGUAAAAACAAAAACGGAUAGGUUUUUACAUUUUGUUUUCAAAAGUUAAAAAAAAUAAAACAAAAGGCAUUAAUUCUUUAUUUUAUCUUAAAUUAGCCUCUUAAAACUAAAAUGGCUAAAAUAAGGUGCAGUAAAAGGCUAUUAUCAAGCACCUAAAUUAUAAAUGAAUGAAAGGAUAAGAGUCAAUCUACCCAAAUUAAAAGGAUUGGAAAUUAUACGUGAGGAAGGAUUGAAGGAACCUUCCAAUCCCUUUUAUUUUAUUUUAUGUUUUUAUCCUUUUUGCCAAAUGAUACUAAAUCCAUCCUUCAACCCUCCUAACAACAAAGCAUAAACCUAAUUAUAAUUAUAAGUCUUUGCAAAAAAAAAAAAAUCGAGAUAUUCAAUCAUUUUUAUCUUUGUUGUGGCAAUAAAUUUAAGAUUGAAAUUUCAAAAUAGAUGUCGAUGCAAAAUAGGAACUACAAAAGACAUGCGUAAUAUACUAAUUUUGUUGAUUGCUUUCAAGGCGUGCUGAUUAGGGAGACAAAAAGGAUAAUGCUUAAUAGUUCAGGGCAAAAUAGAUCAAUUUUAAACUUUGAGGGCUAACUUAAACUAACCCGAUAUAGUUGGGGGAUUUACUUGUAGUUACCUCUUGUCAUAUUUUUGCUUACAAAUGUUUUGGACUGACUUGACGCCAAAUGGGAGAAUACUAGCUUUGAUACCCGCGCGAUGCCGCGAGUUAUUUUUUUUGCAUAAAAAAUAUUAAAAAAAUAAAAAUUUAAAAAUCUUGGGUUUUUCUACAAAGUUAUACCCAAGAAUCUCGGGUUUGGCUGCAACGCCUGACCUAAGAGUAAUAUUUAUAAUAUUAAUAAUAAAAUUAAACUUGCAUGACCCAAGUUUAAGUGAGUCUGGCUGUAACACCGGACCCAAGAAUACUGGAUGUGGGUCUGGCUAUAAGGUCGUGUCAUAAAAGUGUGAUAAUUAAAUAAAUUAAUUAAAAAAACAAAGAAAAAAAAUCAACUGGAAGGAAAAACUAAUGAAGAAAAAGAAAAAAAAAAAAACAUUGAAUUAAUUGGGUCAACCUUUUAAACCAGGUUAUCCCGUAAAACCUGAGAUUUGCGUCAUGAAAGUUUGAUAACUAAAUAGAAAAAGAAAUGACGGGUUUACCUAGAAUUAACGGGGUUAACCCAUCAAACCAAGUUAACCCGUCAAGCCCAGGAUACGUGUCAUGAAAGUAUGAAAGUCUGAUAAUUAAAUAGAAAGAAAAUUAAUUUUAACAAACUAAACUAAAUGAAAAAAAUAACUCGUCAAAUCAGGUUAACCCAUCAAACCCAAGAUUCGUAUCAUGAAAAUAUGAUAACUAAAUAAAAAAAAUUUAACAUUAACAAACUAAAUCAAACAAAAAAAAUUCAUUAAAAAAAAUAAAAAGAAAAAACAAAAGAAAAAAACAGUUAUAUAAUAUAAUACAAUAUAAUAAUAAUUAUAAUUAUAAUUAUAAUGAAAAAACAUGGGGAAAAUUUAAAAAAAUGAAAAAAAAAGUGGGAAAAGCUAAAGCUAAAGCUAAAUUAUCAACCAACUCAAUAUUGAAAAAAUAAAUUUAACAAAGAUAAUUUUAAAGAAAAAACAUGUGGGGGAAACACUGUAGCCAAACAAAAACCAUGUAAGGAAAACACUGUAGUAAUUCAUAGUACUUUUUUUUUUAAAAAAAAAGCUACAAAGCUAAUCUCUCAACCAGCUCACUAUAUAAAAAAAACCGACAAAGGCUAUCUAAAAAAAAAAAAGUCAAUUUUGGGUAAAAGAAAUGAAAAAAAAAUGUACAAAAAAGGAAACAAAAGCGAAAAAAAAACACGUAGGGAAAGCUACAGUGUUUUAAAGAAAAAGACAAAAAAACUAAAUUUUCAAUCAGCUCAAUAGUAAAAAAAUAAAAUCAACAAAAAUAAUUCUGAAAAAAACAAAACAAAAAAAAAAUAUGUAAAAAAUGACAAUUUUGAAAAAAAAGAAAAAUAAAGAAAAAUAAAAAAAUAUAUAUGGGGAAACCUAAAGCUAGAUUAUCAGCCAGCUCAAUAUUGAAAAAAUAAUUUCGAUAAAGAUAAUUUUUUAAAAAAAUAUAUGAGGAAACACUGUAGCAAAACAAAAACUAUGUAGGGGAAACACUGUAGCAAUCCAUAUUAUUUUUUUAAAAACAAAAACUAUAAAGCUAAAUUCUCAACCAACUUAAUAUAAAAAAAAUAAAAUCUACAAAGACCAUUUUGAAAAAAAAAGAAUAAAGAAAUCAUAAAAAAAAAAACAAUGUAUGAGAAUAUUAUAUCAAUCCACAAUGUUUUAAAGAAAAAAACUACAUAGUUAAAUUUUCAACCAGUUCAAUAUUUAAAAAAAUUAGCAAAGAUAAUUUUGAAACAAAAAAAUUUUUUUAAAAAAAGAAACAAAAAAAAGAAGAAGAAAUCAAUUUUGGGUAAAAAAAAAAGCAAAAAAAAACAUGUAAAAAAAAAACAAAAGCAAAAAAAAAAAAAAAAAACCUGCUACAGGGAUAUCCCACGCGUUUUAGAGUUCUUUAAUAGUGCCUUUGUUUGUUCUGCUAAAAUUUUAUGUCGGGAAAACCGAGUGUUCAAUUGCAUCUAGAAAGUGAAAUAGUGAAUCCUUGUUGUGUGAUCUAUAAAUUGGUAUGCUGCUUUCAUUUCAUCGGCACUCUUUUUUUUAUCUCAAAUACCAGGAAACCAGCUGUCCCCUCCUGUUCAGAGCUUUGCUAUGACCGAAGAAAAUCAACAGAUCAAGUCCCCUCAAGAACCACCUGCUGAUCAAGCAGUACCACCCUUGCCAAGUAAGUAUAAAGAAAAAUCAUUUUUUGAUGUUUUGUUGUUUGUAAGAAGUACCAUCACGUGAUUCUGGCGAUCACGAUCGAAGGCAGAGAUCCAAAAAUGUUAUUCCAUCAAGGACUUGAAGGUUCUUAAUUUAUAUGAUCCGACCAUUCGGGUCUGAUUUUAACAACUAUAGUUUCCCUCUAAAAACAAGGGGAAAGGAUGAUAUACCUAAGAUUCUAUCAGUAAUUCAAAACCAUUAUAUUCGGAGAAUCUUAAACAUUAGUUUCCUAGUAGUAAUAUUUUUAGUUUGCUAACAAUUAUGGCAUAUUUUAAUUUUCUUUUCUUUUCUUUUUUUCUCACACACGAUUAUGACAUCUAUGUUUUCCACUUAUGAAUGCUUUACUUUGGACAAGUUUAAGGAAUGUACGGGUUGGGAUCAAAUCCUGCUGCAAAAACAACAUGGCCUGAGUUAGUUGGCUUAACAGCGGAAGAAGCUGAAAGAAAGAUAAAGGAGGAGAAGCCAGGUGCUCAAAUUCAAGUUGUUCAACUUGAUUGCUUUGUGACCAUGGAUUUUCGACAGAAUAGAGUACGAUUACACGUUGACUCAUUAGGCAAAAUCGAGAGAGCUCCUAGAAUUGGUUAAUCUUGCUUUUGUGUUUGAGAAUGUACCGAGUCUAUAAGUCGAUCUUGGAUUGGCUAUGUGGUUUACCUUAUGUUUGUAAUAGGUACGUAAAUUUGCCUGUGAAUGUUGCGUGAUAUCAUUUUCUUCUCUUUUCAUGUCAUUCACUAUGGGUUGUCUUUGAAUAGGGCAUAAAAUUUAUGGGGUCCAAAAUUGUCGGCAUAAUUGUUCAAUAUAUCAUUAUAGGAAGGAAGUCUUGUUUCUUAAAUCUCAGGGUCUCUUAAACUGAACUUGCUUGGAUAAACCGAAACAAAAUGACAACGAAAUAGAGGAAUCUUGCAAACUUUUGUCAGUGAGUGGAAUGGGAUAUUGUUAUCAAGGAGGGAUUUUUCAUCUCUGAAGGAGGGAUUUUUCAUGAGAACCUGAAAUUCAAUUGAAUGGUGCCCACCAAGCCCAGUUCCACAUUAAAAGCAAAUGGAAGCAACACAAGAAAGAUAGAACAAUAAGCAACACAAAAUUAUGUUGAAUAGGGUAAUACUAUAAACUCUAAUUUAAAAUUUUAUUACUAAAUAUUUCACCACACAAAUAUUUUGAUCAAAACUCUCUAUUAUAGCACUUUUAAUAUACUACUAACAAGUUUUAAACAAAACUGAAAAAAUAAUAAAAUACUUCUAAACCAAAUAAGAGAAAGAAUCCUAAAUAAACUAGUAAAAUAUCAAAUGUCAAAUAGUAAGUUCUAAGCAUUAUCAUAAAGUCUUCCCAAUACCAAUUGCUACAAAAUUUAACCCUAAAGAAACCAAGGUCUCUGGAAGCUUCUAGCAAAAUUUCAACUUUAUCCAACUGUUGGAUUAAAAUAUAUACAUGUUAACAUAAAAUUACGCAUUAGAAAAAAUCUCUUAGAUAAGUGUCCCCUUGUUGGAGAGAACUCGUCCUUGAGUUCUGGCCACCACCCACCUAUAUGUUGUUGUUAUUAUGGACCAUCAAAAGGGAUACCCUUGCACUCCACUAACCUCUGGUGUGCUGACACUAUACAGUUAGCCAACUCAAAUAAAGUUGGCCGAGAAUCAAUGCCCUAAACACUCUGAUUCUAUGUAAAACCAUUACUCGUAGCCAAUGGUUUGUUCCACAUCAUGCCCUUUCUCACAUCAUUUUAAUUCUUUAUAAUCUCCUUCUUCUCUUACUUUUCUUAUUCAUUCUUCAUAAACUUGGAUAAAAACAAUAUAUUUUUACCUUUGGACUUAACAACUACCCCUUCUCUCCUCGACUCUAAUACUGUACGCUUCCCUUUUAUAUUGAGAGUGUACGUAUUACAUCAUUUGUCAUGCAUGAUAUUUCUAUCAUAUUAUCAUCGUCUAUCUUGUCAUAACCCAUUUUUGGGUGACUCCCAAAUUCAUUUUCCUUUUCUUAAAAAAAAAAAAAACAAACUGCCCGGUGCCGUUUUGAACGGCACUGUGCAGUUCUUCUCCCCUGCAAAUGCAGAGACAGGGGAGAAGAAGAUUUUUGAAAUAUUUUCUUCCCGCUCUCUCUCUCCACCCCACUUGCACAAAAAUCCCGCAUAACCCAUACCCACACAACCAUACCCUGCAACCAUUAUGGAAGAAACAUGAGACAUACAGAGACCCAUGCCCUGCACUGGAACAGGCAUGGUGACCCUCUCCCUCGACAUUCUAUAAAUAUAAGGGAAGAUUACAGGACAAAAGGGGGGGCAAAAUUUUGGUGAAUGAGAGAGGCAAACAACAGAGUCAAGGGAGGGGGGAUGGUUUUGAAAGGAGAAAAGACGGAGAGCAUUUGAAAACAGAGAAGAGAGAAACCGAACAGAGGAGAGGAGAGGAAGAACCACCAGCUGUGGUCCGCAUAGCCGCCUCCACCGUUCCUCCCAGUCGCCCCGCAGCAACUCCACCUUGAGCCAUCUUCCAAGAGAAAGAAAGAGGAAGAAGAGACAGAGGAGCAGGAGACAGAAAUGGGAAGGAGAAGAAACACACAAAAAAAACACAGAGCAGAGAAAGGGCAGAACCGCCGUCUGGCAUCGCCAUCCACUGCGAGCACAGCCAUUCGGCCACCACCAUCCAGCACCGCCAUUCCGCCACCACCAACACUGCCAACUCCAGCAGAACCAGAGAGGGAGAAGAGAAACAGAACAGAACCGAGAGAAAGAAAACCAGGGGAGGAGUAGAAGGGGGGAAGAAGAAGAACCACCGCCGGCCACCUUCAACCCGGCAGCGCCACCGUUGAUCUUCCUCUCCACAGCCACCAGUAGCGCCGAGCAGAGAAACAGAGGAAGAUAGCAGAAACAGAAAAAAAACAACAGAGCAAAAAACACAGGGAAAGAAGAAGAAAAGGGGCGACCACCACCUCUGUCGCCUCUGCUGUCGCCAGCAGUCGCCACCUCCCCUGCUGCCUCCGCUGCCGCCAGCAGUCGCCAGCGUCGCCACAGCUCCAGGUAACUUUCUCCCCUCCCCUGUCUUUUUUUAGCUGCAUCUUCAUUUGCAUGCAGAACGUGAGCAAUUCACGUUCUGCAGCAAAUGAAGAUUACAGUAACUAGCUAAUUAUAUUUUCUUUGGUUAUGGGCUGGAACAUCAGCCCAGCCCACGCGGCUGGGCUGAGUCCACCCCACAGUAUAUGGGCCGGGUCAGGCCCAUCCCAGGAUGGGUGGGCCAGGUCCGGCCCGUUUUUUUUUUUUUUUUGUAAAAAGAAAAAUUAAAAAAUAUUUUUGGAAUUUUACAAUUUUCCCGCGUAUUUUUAUGUCAUUGUGAUUAAUAUCAAGCAGUAUUUUUUAUGUCGUUAAAAAUGAAAAAUCUGAUAUUAAAAUAUCCGGUUUUCAUCAAAACUUCAAAAAUACAAAAAAAUUUGAAAAAAAAAAUGUUUUAUGCGUACGGCCAAGUGUCUCAAAGCUAAAAAAUCAUAUUGUGUUUUUCAUACACCAAAAAACAAUGUUUUAGCAUGCAAUUUUGACUUUAAUAACCAGUUUAGUAAAGUCAAGAGAACAUUGGCCAAAAUUUCAAAAACCAUAAAAAUUUUAUUUUGUUUGUCUUUUAGUAUCCGGGGUACGAAAUUACAUGUAAUGCGUAUUUCUGAUAUUAAAUUUUUUUUUCUUUUUCAACGUUAGAACGGUUAGGUUUUACCCCAUUAAGAUAAGAACCUCCUUAUUGAGGAGGGCUUUUCUUGAAUCUUAGACAGACAAGACCAACAAUAAAAAAACAUGACAAGACCUUAGAUUUUUAUCAGACAAUAAAACAAUGCAGCUUACCUUAGGUAGGGCGUAUUUGGGGUGCUAAUACCUUCCCUUUACGCAACCAAUCUCCGUACCCGAUCUCUGAGACCAGUUAGGGUUCCUAGUGACCAGAAUAUUAGGUGGCGACUCCCAUUCCAUUUUUCCAAUGAUAAGAGACAAGAAUUCCUUGUCUCCCCAUAUUUUCCAGACACACAUCCAUUGAGUGUGGGUGGGCGAUCGCCGUGACGCCGCACACGUGCGACAUACCUAACAAUAGAUGAUAUGCACCCAUAGACAUCACAUCACACAAAUAACCAUCAAAAUAUCUCUUGCCUAUAUAAAAUGAAACAAGACAGUGUUUGUCCAUCAUUACCAUGCUAUCUUGGUUUAGCCACUUUAAUUUGUAAGGUUUUAGGUCUUUUUCUAUCUUGAGUUACAACUUCUCUAAUGCCUCGACUGACAUCAUGUUCUCACAAUUGCCACUGUCAAUGAUCAAAUUGCAUACAUUGUCUUUUAUCACUUCCCAACAUCAUGGUGACGUUGAAAAAAGAAAAAAGAAUAAAUAUUUGACAUUUUGUUUUUAAAGGGGAAAAAUCUUGUGUAAGGAGUUGCUACCUAGUAUUAUGGUCACUAGGAACCUUAACUAGUCCACAAAGAUUUGAUGGUACGAGACUGAUUAAACUAAAAAGAAGAUACUUUCACCCCUAAAGCGUCCUACCUAAGGUAGGCUGCAUUGCUGGUUUUGCCUUAAAUUGCUAAGGGUUGGUAGUGCUAUGCUAUCAAAGGUCUACCUAUAGUAUUCCUGACUCUGGAAUCAGUGAAUAUUCAACUAAAAAUGCUUCAAACUCUAGCAUUAAUAAGUGUUACAUGACAAAAUAGUCUGAUAUUUCUGACUUUAGCGUUAAUGAAUAAUGAGCUAAGAUUUAUUUCUAAAUCUAGUUCUAAUAUUCUUAACUCUAGCGUUAGUGAAUACUAAGAGUAUCCUUAACUCUGAUAUUGAUGAAUACAAAUAUCACUAACUCUAACAUCAAUCAAUAUUAAGAUAAUAUUUCUAAUUUUGACAUUAGUAGAUUUUGCUUAAAAUUUAAAAUUCGUUAGUGAAUAUGUAUGUAUGUAUGUAUAUGGCAAUGGCUCAUUGUUAAUAUUAACCUUAAAAAUUAGAAUUAAAUGUCAAAAUAUUUUUGGUCUGAUUAAUGAAGGAAAACAAGGCUGGGUUAUUAUUAUUUUUUGAAAAUUUGAAUAUGUCGGCUCAAUGGUCCUUUUAAUUUUGAUCAAGUUCUAAGACUUUAUAAACUUGUUAUAAAGUUCAAAAUACAUGUGAAAUAUUUUUGUAUUUUAUUUUUAUUUUUUGUGAUAAUGUUUAAAAAAGUGCUAAAAUAUGCACAAAAAAAAAGUUUUUUGGUUUUUUUUUUAUUUUGUGAAAAAACGAAACAAAGGUUUAUAUAUAUAUAUAUAUAUAUAUAUAUAUAUAUAUAUAUAUAUAUAUAUAUAAUCCCAAGAUAUGCCACAAUGAUGCUUUUUAAAAAGGCUUGGCCAUGCAAUUUAAAAGAAAACUUCUGAAGAAAAAAAUUUGAAAAUAAAAGAGAAAUUUUUAUAAACCCAUUGUCUAAACAAGAUGUAACCUCAAGGACCAUUUAAAAACUAAAUGUACCAUGUUCUAUUAUACUACUGUAGGAAGCAAAGAAAACACAUUGAGUGCAAAUACAAAAACAAAACCCUUUCAUAGCAAGAGCAAGGUUAACUCCUACACUAACUAAAAAAAACUCUUUUCUAAAGGGAAAUAUAGACUAAUAAAAGUCCUAUCCUAGUGUUGUCAUGAAAAAUAAACCAUGUAAAUUGCUGUAUAGAGCAAAAUCAAAGAAGGUCUCUUUUAUUAUCCAUGAGACCAAACUAUACACUAAGCCUUUUUAGCAAAGCUACAACCCUAAAAAAAAAAAAAAAAACUAAGGAUGAUUAUUUUUUGUUCGGUUCGGUUUUUACCUAUAAAAAUAACCAAACUGUUUUUUUUUAAACCCGAAACCGGUUCAAACCGACCGGUUUCGGUUAUGUUCGGUUAUUUUUUAUUAAAAACCAAAAAUUAUUGUUUUUUGUGGUUUUUUUUUUGUAAUUUCCAAUGGGUUUGGUUUUGGUUUGGCUCGGUUUUUUUAGUUUUUUUGGUUUUAGACUUAUGGAAUCUAAACCGAACCAGUCGGUUUUUUAAAUAUUUUAAUCGGUUUUUUUUACGGUUCGGUUUUUUUAGUUAUUUUUUUUUUGUUUUCUCGGUUUAAUCGAUUUUUCAGUUUUUUUACGCACCCCUAAUAAAAACCCUUCAUCCUUCUCAUGUGCCCAGGACACUUCAUGUAGAAAACACAUAUACUUAAGAGUAAAAACAAUAUAGUUCCUUCUUCAGAGCACAAGCCAUACAGCUCAAAACCAAUACACAUGAACCUCGAGCAUGACCAACAUGUUGGAAGAAAAUUAGUGCAGUAACUUAUUAUGAUAGUCUGACCAAUAGCGUAACGGGUGCUACCAAUCUAGUUUGUCCUAAUUUUCUGGUCCAAAGCAGGAAAACAAUAACAACACAAGUAAUUUUGGUGGUCUUCUCUGUUUUAUUGAGUUGUAUGUCUUCCAGGUUAGGGAGAGAGUGAUAGUGAGGAUUGAAAAGGUUGUUUCAGUUUAAUCCGACUAGUCGUAACGUUACUAGCUAUAUAUUGAGUCAAUGCCAGCCAUGUGGUAUUCAAUCCUGACACGUAGCUAGUUAGAAUUGAUGCAGAACUGGACCAUUUAUAAUGCUCAAGAAACAGAGGAUCGGUUUAUUAAGGAAGACAGAGCCCUUGGUACUUGGCAGAUUAAUUCAGAUAACUUGCUGUACUACUUCCAACUAUAACUAUGCAUGUCUUUUAAGAUUACCUCCUGCUUCGUGCUUAGUAAAAUGCUUCAUGAUUUGUUACCAUGUUUGCUUUCUUAUGUGAUACAUCAACAUAAAAAAAAGGGAGAGAUACCGUGUUAUGUAUUUUAUUUAAAUUGCAUCAUUGUUUUGCAGGUGAUCUUUCAUGUAUCGCAUGCAGGAACUCCUCUGAUUCACCAAAUAGAUCUUACAUGAGUUCUUAAUAAGGUCCUUGAAGAAAAGUAAUAAUUAACGGCCACCUGAAAGGAGGGACUCUGCAACCGAGGACGAAUGUCCAAAUGCCUUGUCCAUAGAAGAAGGAUAAGAAUUGGCAAACUCAUCAAAACCUUCACGAUGUGAAAAUGUUAGGCCACUUGCAGAAAGACAAAGUGGUGAAAUGUCAGGCAGAGGAACAUCCCCCUCUAAGAACUGCACUACUUGCCGCAUGCUUGGCCUUGCUGAAGGCUCAGAAUGAGAGCACAUCAAACCAAGUUUCAAUAACAAUUCCAUUUCCUCUGCAAUAUAUUCUGUACCCAAAUUGGGAUCCCUUGCCUCCAGAAUUUCACCUCCAAGCCAUCGACUAAACACCCAAUCAACCAAGAUUAUAUCCUCAGUUGGUUAUAUUGGCCUUCUACCAGAAGCAACCUCAAGCAGGAAGGCCCCAAAAGCGAACACAUCAGUGCUUGUCGUGGCCUUUCCAGUUCGUGCAUGCUCAGGUGCGAGAUACCCAAGAGUUCCGACAACGUGGGUCGUUUGAGGAUCUGUUCCAUGGUCAUACAAUCUUGCAAGGCCAAAAUCCCCUAAUCUUCCAUUCAAUUCACCAUCUAGCAAGACAUUACUAGCCUUGACAUCUCUAUGAACCA
RNAcentral lists this long non-coding RNA (36441 nucleotides) under Populus trichocarpa (black cottonwood). RNAcentral describes it as "long non-coding RNA (PTRI_LNC004481)". The record is from RNAcentral. Lineage: Eukaryota; Viridiplantae; Streptophyta; Magnoliopsida; Malpighiales; Salicaceae.